Molecule: long non-coding RNA, 3136 nt
Filed under: Gallus gallus (chicken)
Lineage: Eukaryota; Metazoa; Chordata; Aves; Galliformes; Phasianidae
Source: RNAcentral
CGGCCACGCCCACCCGGCGGGAAUCGCCGGCGUGGUCCGCAACGCUAAGCGGGGGGUCCUGAGCUGGGUGGGGGGCUCAGCUCCGUGCACUCCCCGCAGCCUAUGCCGUCGGUGCGCAGCCCCGCAGGAGACACCCACAGCAUUACCAUCGGGUUUGGGUUUAUUGCUCCCGUGGGGAGAGUGCUCACCUCCCCACUGGCCAGGGCAAAGAGCAGGACACCCAGGGACCACCAGUCAGCUGCGUGGCUGUAGGGACCCCCACUCAGCACCUCUGGGGCUGCAGGGAUGAGGAGAGUGCCACAGAUGGUGUGUGCCCGCUCACCACAGCGCAGGUGUCGGGAGAGCCCAAAGUCAGCGAGUUUGAGAUGCCCUGGGGGGCAAGACAGUGCAAGAGGAGGGGGUGACCCCAUGCACAGGAUGUCCCCACGCCAAUGCCACCAGGCCCUCACCUCUCUCAUCCAGGAGGAUGUUCUCCAUCUGAAAUAAAACAAGCUCUGGGGUGGGCCCUCCAUGCCAGGGGAUGCAGAGACCCUCAGUGCCUUUUUGUCCCCCCUCCCUUCUAUCACCCACCUUCACAUCUCUGUGCACGAUGCCCAGGUCGUGGAGGUACACUGGGGACAAGAUGGAGCUGUCAGAGCCGGGGUGUCCCCUCCCUGCACCGUACCCAUUGCCACCCUCAGGGGGGGGGCUGAGCCCCCACUCACCCAGCACCAGCACCAGCUCGGCUGCAAACAGGCGGACGGUGGCCUCGGUGAAGCGCCCAGCGGCACGCCACAGCGCGUGCAGGUCCCCAGUGCUGCAGUAGGUGCACACUGCCAGGAUGGGUCACACCACCCUUACCCAGGGCCACGCAGGCACCAAAGUGAUGCAUGGGGCCAUAUGGGUGGGGAGGUGGUACAAGGACUGGGAUCUUCUGGGCACCAGAGCCGUGUGAGCACAGGGAGAUUGCAAGCACUGUGCCCAGGGUGGUACAGGCACCAGGGCUGCACAGACUCUGCGGCCACGUGGACACAAAGGUGGCACAAGCACUGCAAAUGUAUGGGCAUGAAAGCGAUGCAAACAUCACAGACACACGGGUAUGAGAGCGGCAUGAGAAUUGUGGCUACGUGGGCAUGAAGGGGGCAAAACAAUGUGGCACGUGGGCUCAGAAGUAGCACAGGUACUGUGGCCACACGGUCAUGAAGGUGGCAUAAGUACUGUGGCCAUAGGGGUGACGUAAGAACGUGUCCACACGCUGUGAUGGUGGCGUAUGGGCGUGAAGGUGACACAAGGACAUGCCCACUUGCCACGAUGGUGGCAUAGCACUGCAAGCACACGGCCAUAAAGGUGGCACAAGCACCGUGGCUAAAUGGGCACCAAGGUGACACGACCCUUGGGGCUCACAGACCCGCCAGGCCCAUACAGACCCUGUGGGCACAGCGGUGGCACAGAGCCACCAGAGCCGUGACGAUGGCACAGUGGCCUUUUUCCCCAUUGUCCCAUUGCUGUCCCUGCAGUGGGUGAGGGGUGGGAGGCAGCAGCCCGGCGCUCAGCCCCCAUGGGCAGCGUGCAGAACGUGCAGGGAGGGGAGGGGGGGGAACACGUGUGCAGGCAGAGAGAACACGUGCACAGGCAGAGAGGGGGGGGGUGGGGGGAGCCCGCGGGCAGAUGGUCACUCACUGAUGAAGAGGUGGCGCUGGCCCUGCCAGCUGUCCCCAAGGCCGUGGACAAACGGGUGCCUGACCUGUCUCUGGGGAUACAAAGCGGAGAGGGUGAGCGGUCCCUGGAUGGGGGGGUUCCUCCUUGUGCCCCCCCCCCCCUCCCCCCUUCUCUCCCCUAACCUGGAUGCUGACUUCUUCCUUGCACUGCUUAAGGGUGUCGCGGCGCAGCACCUCCACUUUGGGCACGACCUGGAAGAGGGGUCGUCAGGAUGGGGGGGGUUUCUGCGGCAGCACGGAACCCCCAGGCUGUGGGGCAGCACUCACCUUCACGGCGCAGACCUUCUCUCUCCUGCAGUCCAACACUUUUAGUAUGGUACCGAAGGAGCCUUUGGCCACCAAGCCCAGGAUCUGAGGGGGGGGGGGAGGGAGGGGACACAGGAGCUGAACACCCUAUGGAAUGAUGAGGGGUACAUCCUGCCGGGGUGUGGGGUCCUGCGUGGGUGAGUGGCACAGGGCAGGCGGGGGGGAAAUAAGGUCCUGGAGGUACGCAGUAGGGCACACGGGGGGACAUAGAGGAUGGGAACACCUCAACGUGGGGCACACGGGGCGCAGAGGGAACGCACGGAGGGGACCCGAACGGGACGGGAAAGGGACUCGGUGAGACGGUGGCGGACUCCUGUAAGGACGCACGGGGACCCCGUAGGGAGCGCGGAGACCUCGCUGAAAGGCACCGACCGCACGGGGACCCGGACAGGGCGCUCGGAGAUCCCGACGGGAUAUAGACAGAGCAGGCACAGGGCGCGACGGGACCCGUCGGGAGGCACACGGGACGCGCGGACUCCCCGGUGAAGCGGAGGGGUUCCCCGGUGCGCUGCAUCGGUCCCCGGACGGCACCUUGAGCUGCUGCUGCCGAGCGGAGGGGCGAACGGGGAACUCCGGCAGGAAAAGCGAGACGAGCUGCGGCAGCGGCCACCCCGGGAACGGCGGCUCCUCGGUGGCCACAGCGAGUCCCGGUACCGGCACCGGUCCCUGGACCGACCCGCUCCGGCGGAGCAGCGCCCGCACCCACGACCCCACGGCUCGGCCCUACGGAACCGGGGGCAGCCGUCAGCGAGCCGGGGUCGGAUACCGGAUAGGGGGACGCGGGGACGCCGUCGGGGCCACCGCACGCACCUGGGGGGGCCCCGGGCCGGACCCGCUGCUGGCUGCUCCCAUCGCGCCGCCGCCCGGCCCGGCCCCGUUAAUCGCCGCCUUACAUAACCUCGCCCCGCCCCGCCCCGCCCCGACCCCCCCCCGGCACUGGGGCUCCGUGCGGUACCCACCCCCCAUCCGCACCGGGCAGCAGCCACGGACUCCGAGCCCCCCCCCAUCCCGGCCCCCGGUAGGAGCUGGGGGUGCUCCCAUCCAUCCCCCCCCCCUGCUUCCUUCGGGGCAACUUCCAAAUUAAGAGGGUGAAAGGGUCAGCGCAGCCCCCCUCCAGCCCCACAAAGCUCCAG